UACGUAGGGUGCGAGCGUUGUCCGGAAUUAUUGGGCGUAAAGGGCUCGUAGGCGGUUUGUCGCGUCGGGAGUGAAAACUCAGGGCUUAACCCUGAGCCUGCUUCCGAUACGGGCAGACUAGAGGUAUGAAGGGGAGAAUGGAAUUCCUGGUGUAGCGGUGAAAUGCGCAGAUAUCAGGAGGAACACCGGUGGCGAAGGCGGUUCUCUGGGCAUUACCUGACGCUGAGGAGCGAAAGUGUGGGGAGCGAACAGG
This 253-nucleotide ribosomal RNA is filed under the name uncultured bacterium. RNAcentral describes it as "partial 16S ribosomal RNA". It matches the Rfam family "Bacterial small subunit ribosomal RNA", at positions 524 to 776 of the family's 1533-position model. The record is from RNAcentral.